GGAAGGAUCAUUAACACAUGUUAUUAAAACAACACAAAAUGAACACAUCUCCGCUUCCCUAUCCCAAACGAGACAUACGUGCGCAUGCAUGCGCUGUACAUCAUACGCACUUGGAAGAGGCGCACCUUGGUGCAGCUUUUUUCUAGUGUGUAAGGUGUGUAUGCAUGUGCAUGUGUGUUUUGGGGGUUGCGAGUGUUCUUCCUAACGCCAUGGCUCAGUGCAUGUGUGCGUGUGCAAAUAUGCGUACGCUGCGUGCAAGGGGCUUGUGCGUGUGGUCACUGUUUGAACAAGCGCGCGCGCGCAUACACGUGCGCGCGUUUGUGUCUUCAUUCGUGUUUUUAACUCCAUACAUAUUGUGUGUAUUGAACUCAUUGUCUCUGAUUUCCUUUCUUUCUUUUCCCUCCCACCAGUGGGGGGAAAACGAAAACAAGGAAAACACUUUAUAUAAAAACAAAACCUCGAGAUAACUUUUAACAACGGAUAUCUUGGUUCUCGCAACGAUGAAGAACGCAGCGAAAUGCGAUACGUAAUGUGAAUUGCAGAAUUCAGUGAAUCAUCGAGACUUUGAACGCAAAUUGCGCCUAUGGGAACUCCUGUAGGCACGCCUGUUUGAGUAUCGGUUCCAUACUCAUCCCAUAUCCCGCUGCUGCUGCUGCUGCUCUCGUACUGUGUGCGUGCACACUGGUGUGAGGUGGUGGUGGUGGUGGAGGAGGUAUGCGUGAUGGAUUUUGAGCUUUUGUCAGGGGCACACUCUUGUGUCCUUGUCGCUCUAAAUGCAUGCACAAAAAGAGUCUGUGCGUGCCACAUACGUUUCGUGACACUAUGAGCAUUUUUCUUUGCUUGGUGCGACGUGUGUGUCAGUGUGGUAAUUGCGUGUGCGUGCGCACCAUGUUUUUUCAUGGUGUGCGUGCUAUGCAAAGGAUCACUGGCAAAACAAAAACACACUUCGGUUAUCAUCGAGCAAGGCGCAAGGACACCAAUACAUAUACGUGUAUUGGCGUCAUUGUGUGCUGUGGGUGGCACGAAAAACACACGUGUGUGGCGCUCUACAUGCGCGCUUUCUUUCUUUUGGUGUGCUACAUAUUUUACUCAAGAAUCUGUGUGUGCGUGUGUGUGCACGCUUACUGACCAUGAGCCACUCCACCUGCCACUGCCACCUUGGUGGUGUUGGUGGUGGUGUGGGUGGUGAAGGGUUGUUUGCAAUACACACACACCUAUACGUGCACAGGUUUUUUUAAUAUCUCGAUCUCAAAUCAGGCGAGGCUACCCGCUGAACUUAAGCAUAUUAUUAAGCGGAGGAAAAGAAACUAACCAGGAUUCCCUCAGUAGCGGCGAGUGAAGCGGGAACAGCUCAUAUUUAAAAUCUGGGGUGCUCAACUGUGCCCCCGAAUUGUAGUUUUUGGAAGGUCAGUCCAGGCGCCUCCCCGGGUAUAAAUCCUUUGGAACAGGGUGUCACAGAGGGUGAGAAUCCCGUACGUGACCCGGAGGGUGGACGGCGUCGACACGUGUCUGGCUUUCUUAGAGUCGGGUUGUUUGGGACUACAGCCCUAAAUGGGUGGUAAAUUUCAUCUAAAGCUAAAUACUGGCGAGAGACCGAUAGCGAACAAGUACCGUGAGGGAAAGAUGCAAAGAACUUUGAAAAGAGAGUCAAAAGUGCUUGAAAUUGUUAAAAGGGAAACGAUUUAGUCCAGUGUUCACGCGUGUGGGACUCAACUCGGGCGGCGUGUCGCCCCUGUGCUCGGAUAGCUCUCCUCAUGGGGGGCGGCCGGGUGUGGGGGUGGGCGCGUCACCGGGUGCACUUCCUGCAUUGCGUGGGUCAGCGUCAGCUCUGGCCCUGCGGGACAAGACUCGUGGGAAGGUGACAGGCGGGGUGCGCAAGUGCUUCGUCUGUGUUAUAGACCGCGAGCCAUACCGUGGGCUGGGCUGAGGGAGCCGGACGUGCGCCGCAAGGCCAGGCGUGUUCAUUCUCUGGCGGGCGGGACAUGGGGGGACCGGGCAACCCGGUGCCUUUGUGCCUCGUUCGUCACGGGGUGGGACGAUCCUGUGCACGGCCUGGACGCUGACGAAAUGGGCUAAACCGACCCGUCUUGAAACACGGACCAAGGAGUCUAACGUAUGUGCGAGUAUUAUGGUGAGUCAAACCAUGAUGCGCAAUGAAAGUGAAAGGGCGGGACGCCGGGUGACGCCGGUUUUGCACCGCCGACCGAUCUGGAUAUAUCCGCAAGGACAUUUGAAAGAUUUGAGUAUAAGCGCAUCCGCUAGGACCCGAAAGAUGGUGAACUAUGCCUGCAUAGGGUGAGGCCAGAGGAAACUCUGGUGGAGGCUCGUAGCGAUACUGACGUGCAAAUCGUUCGUCAAAUGUGGGUAUAGGGGCGAAAGACUAAUCGAACCAUCUAGUAGCUGGUUCCCUC
This 2411-nucleotide unclassified non-coding RNA is filed under the name uncultured fungus. RNAcentral's name for it is "sequence contains 18S rRNA gene, ITS1, 5.8S rRNA gene, ITS2, 28S rRNA gene". The stretch from base 1244 to 2411 matches the Rfam family "Eukaryotic large subunit ribosomal RNA", at positions 1 to 961 of the family's 3401-position model. The record is from RNAcentral. Lineage: Eukaryota; Fungi.